CCCUUAGAUGUCCUGGGCCGCACGCGCGCUACACUGAUGCAUGCAACGAGUUUUACUUCUCCUGGGUCGGGAGGCCCGGGUAAUCUGUUGAACGUGCAUCGUGAUAGGGAUAGAUCAUUGCAAUUAUUGAUCUUGAACGAGGAAUUCCUAGUAAACGCGAGUCAUCAGCUCGCAUUGAUUACGUCCCUGCCCUUUGUACACACCGCCCGUCGCACCUACCGAUUGAAUGAUUCGGUGAAGAUUCCGGACUGUGUCAUCAUCGCUUCACGGCGGUCUUGACGUGGGAAGUUAUCUAAACCUCAUCAUUUAGAGGAAGGUGAAGUCGUAACA
This 330-nucleotide ribosomal RNA is filed under the name uncultured eukaryote. RNAcentral describes it as "partial 18S ribosomal RNA". It matches the Rfam family "Eukaryotic small subunit ribosomal RNA", at positions 1470 to 1796 of the family's 1831-position model. The record is from RNAcentral.